CGUGCCACCACACCUGGCUAAUUUUUGUAUUUUUAGUAGAGAUAGGGUUUCACUAUGUUGACCGUGUGGUCUUGAACUCCUGACCUCAUGAUCCACCCACCUCAGCCUCCCAAAGUGCUGGGAUUACAGGCAUGAGCUACCGUGCCCGGCCAAAACAGUACCUGUUUUAUGAGCUCUUGUGACUCGGGGGCUUGACUGGGCUUGGUAGGGUAGUUCUGCUCCAUGGGACUGCAGUCAAUGGGGACCCAUUUGGGCCAGACAUCCUGGAUGGUACACACCCAUGGCUAGCAGCUGUGGCUGGCUGUCUGCUGGAAGCUCAACUGAGGCUGUCGACUGACACACAUACAUGACCUCUCCAUGUGGCUUGAACUUCCAGCACAGAAGCUGGGUCCUGAGAGGGAAUGUUCCAGAAGUGUGCAUUCCAAGAGGGAGAAAACAAGAGCUGCUUGUCCUCUUAAAGGCUAGGGCCAGCACAAGCAUGGCAUUGCUCUACCACAUUCUGCUAGUUCAGUGGCCACAGGGCCAGCCCAGAGGCAAGGGCUUCAUGGGGAGAAUGAUGAAUAAUGUAUGUCCACCUUUAAUCACACCUGGACAGUAGCAGUGCUGAGGGAGGGAUGCAGACUCAAGAGAGGUUUAGGGAGAGUGGACAGGACUUGGCACCUCAUUGUUCAUGGAAGAAAGAACUGGGGAUGCCAAGAAGGUGUUGCCCUGAGCAUCUGUCAGGAUGAUCACUUUAAUCCCUAGAGCCAGCCAUGGGGUUCUGACAUGGGGCAGCCUCUCUGCUAGGCGUUGCAUGUGUUCUUUGGAAGGGAAAGAUGAUCGGCACCUUUGCCCAGGACACUCACAACCCUAAUAGCAUCGCAUCCUAGUCAGAUGAGCCAGGCUUCUCAUAGAGCACUAAUGGAAGCGGGCUCAGGACAGGUAAGUUUUGAUAGCAGACGAGAUGGAAAAAGAAAAAUACUGGAUGCUCCUGGGAGUUAAGAGGUGUAGAAGCCAGGAUGGGAUGUGGUAUGCACAGGUCAGGGAGAUGGACAGAGACUGGCCUCUGAUUACCCUGAAGCAGUAAGUUCUUGCAGAUGUUAUCAGAGACUGAACUAUUCCCCUGCCAGGGUGGCACAGGCCUCCCCCAAGUGGUGUCAGCUGAUCCAUGUGGGAGUCGAGAUGGCAGCAUCAUGUCAUAAUUUCCCUCCAUCCUUGGCCCAGGGCCAUCUGGUGAAGGGUGUCCUAUAGUUCCGCUGAAUGGGAGAGAAUCCAAAAAUCACCUUACCGAACAUCACUAAGGUCAAGCUGAGGCAGUGUAUGAUAUAUAUUUUUAUUUCUUUUUUCACUAAAGUAUUUUUUUUUCCCUCCAGCUCCCUGGCUAAGCUGGCUUUCCUUCAGAUCUGGGGCUUCUGGUCUCGAGGUCACCUGUGUUUCCGGGCCAAAGAUGGUUGUUAACUUGUUCCUCGGAUUGUUCAGUUUCUCAUUCCUGUGCUUUGACCAAGAGGCCAAGUCCAUCCAUUUAAAGUCAUCUCCAAAGACCGGGCUUGGUUCCGGACAUGGCGGGACUGGCUCAGGCAGGAGGCUGACUCAGCCGUGAGAAACAUUAAUGCCUGCCCAUGGUCAUUCUCUUCCUUCGGAAUGCCAGGCUCCUGGGGAUUAGAUGUAAGGAAACUUAUAGAGGCGUCCCAGGGCCACCACUUAUAAAUCAUGUGACCUUGGGCAAGCUAGUCCAUAAAAUAUGAGACUCGCUAUCUCCAUCCAUAAUGUUAGACUAAGACCUCUCAGGCAGACCCUGAGUUCUGUGCAUUGGACAGACCCUGAAUUCUGUUAGGAGGACAAUCUGCCUUCCUCAAGUAAGAUAAUGUCCCGCAUCCCUCUUCCUUUGGGCGACUUCAUUCUUCCCAUCCAGACUGUGGUUGGGGUGUGGUCACCAAUCAACUCCAUCUGGCCACAGGAUUGGGCAAAAAACUCAAUCAUGUGGACUAAUCAAACUCCCACAGUGAUUGGUCCAGGAAUAGACACAUGACCCAAGUUCCACCAAUCAGAUUCCUUCCCUAGGACUUUUUUCACCUGAGCUGGGGAAGAAUUAUCUUUUCACUCUCAAAGCAAGGUUGUUAGGUUCUAAGACUGAAGCUGCUCUUUAUCUCUUCUCCCAACACCUGGCUUACAUGAGCCCAUAAGUUUCCCUUCUUCUCGGACUAGUUUCAGUUGGGUUCUGACAGUGUACCUUACAAUCAAAAAGUCCUGAAGAAAGCGUUACUUUUUGAUGCCAUUGUAAUAAUGAUAAUGAGAGCCGCUUUAUUAUAUGCCUCCGGUUUGCCAGGUUCUGUGCCAAGAGCUUCCAUAUAUUAUCUCAUGGCUUACCUCGACCUGUAGUUAUUUGUGUGCCUGGUGGCACUCCCCGACUGCACCUAACCUCCUGGAGGUUGAUUUCAUCUCAACAUUGCCCAGGGCACCCCGCUUGGUGCCUGUCCUGCACCUGGUGCAUGGCAGCCUGACAGCCCCUCAGGGGGUCACCUUGGAGGGUCACACAGAGACGUGCAGUCCGUCACCACACGUGUUCCACAGGUCACAUGGAGUUGGCCCUCUGGCCAGAGGUUGGCUGGGGACUGAUCUUCAUGGGGUGGCUACAUAAAAGUGGGAGCCCUCCCCACUCCUGCCUCUCCUGCCGACCCCAGCCUCAGCCCCUUCUUUCCUAAGCAGCCUUUUCUAUUAUUAUUUUAACAGCUGGCUCCAGAAUUUUUUCUGGAUACUGUGUAGAGGGUAUGGGGAAUAAGGAACUUGCUGCUCCUGCUAAGCCACCCGGGGUGAAGGUGAGAUCUCCCUAGGGCUCCAGCUGGCUUGUGGAGGAAGAAGUAGCAUCUAUGCUGGGACUGACAGGUGGGCAGGAGUCAGGAGUUGGGAGAGCAGAGAGGGGAACCGCACAGAGAGGACCCAGGCUCAGGAGGCUGCGUGGGCACCUGAGGAACUGGCCAGAUGGUGGAGCUCAGGGAGGCCUGGGGUGCGAGAUGAGGAGGAGCCUGGACGUCCCAGCACUGGCUUUCAUUAUUCUAGCACAUCUCAGGAUUUUUUAAGAAUAGAAAACCUGGCAUUUAUAUUGGCAACGAAAAAUGCUUGAAAUCUAAAUUAUUCUCAUCUGAAGCUAGAAAUAUCCAUAAUGGGCCAGGUGUGAUGGCUCAUGCCUAUAAUCCCAGCACUUUGGGUGGCCGAGGUGGGUGGAUCACCUGAGGUCAAGAGUUCGAGACCAACCUGGCCAACAUGGUGAAACCCCAUCUCUGCUAAAAUACAAAAAUUAGCCAGGCGUGGUGGCGGGUGCCUGUAAUCCCAGCUACUUGGGAGGCUAAUACAAGAGAAUCUCUUGAACCCAGGAGGCAGAGGUUGCAGUGAGCUGAGAUCGUGCAACCGCACUCCAGCCUGGGUGACAGAGCCAGACUCCAUCUCAAAAAAAGGAAAAAGAAAUACCCAGAAUGUUACAUGUGCACUCAAGCACUGAAUUGAAUGAAGUACUGGUUUUGGUGGUAACUACAGCUUUCCAUUGCUUAAAACCCUUUCAGGCUGGACGUGGUGGCUCAUGCCCAUAAUCCCAAUGCUUUGGGAGGCUGAGGUGAGAGGAUCAUCUGAUCCAGGAGUUCAAGACCAGCUGGGGCAACGUAGCAAGACCCCAUCUCCACAAACUUACAAAAAAUUAGCUAAGUAUGGUGGUGCAUGCCUGUAGUCCCAGUUACUCCAGAGGCUAAGGCAAGAGGGUUGCUUGAGCCUGGGAGGUUGAGGUUGUAGUGAGCUAUGAUCAUGCCACUGAACUCCAGCCUGUGUGACAGAGCGAGGCCCUGUCUCAAUCAAUCAAUCAAUCAAUCAAUCAAUCAAUCCUUUCAAAAUAUCUUAUUGCUGUUUAGUUUCCAUUUUCCAGGUUUUUAAUGAGGCUAAGGAGCUUUUCAAAGGUUCACUCUUCCUGCCUAGCCAUUUGGGCUGUGUAGUUCAAGAGGAUCUGUAGCAUCUUUUUACAAAGAAGAAGGUUAAGGCGUUAGGGGAGGAGCAGGGAGAACAGGAGGAAGGAGCUCCCAGGCCCUGUUUUCAGCCCUUCCUUCCCCUCCUCUUUUCUUUUUUGAGGCCUGCUCCAUUCUCUUAGGGCCUGACCCUGACCUGCCAACCCCAGAUAAGGUGUUGUGACUAGGCCCUCCUUCCCCCAGGGUUCCCCCUGGAGAGACCCAAGGCAAUGGAUGGAGGAGCAUUGGCCCCACCCCAUCUCCUCACCCCACUUAAGGGAACAGCAUCUGAGGACAGGUGGCAGCAGGUAGUGUGGCCCCACCUCACUUCACAUUGCAGGGAGCUCUGUCACUUUGCUCCUUUGUUGCAAAUGCCAUUGGAAAGGCCAGUGCUGUGCUGCCUAGUGAGGUCUUCAAGGUGUUGGCCGGAUGCUUGAAGAAAGUGGAAGCCAUGGAAGGUUGUAUUCAGGAGAGGGGCAUGGCCCCUUCUGAGCAUGUUUCCACUGGUGGGAGGCCAUAGAGAGAAUGAUAAGGAAGGAGAAUGAGGCCACGUGGAUGACAGCUAACCCCUGCUGAGAGCCCAUUCUGAGCCGUGCACUGUAUGCCAUUUACUGGCAAAAGAGCAUGAGUAGGUGGUCAAGGUCGCCCAGCUGACAAGUGACAAAGUCAGAGCCAUCACAUUUCACCUGAGAUUCCUCCCCAGUUGUUUCAGGCAUGUUCGAUUUGUUUCCUAGCAAUAACUUUGCAAGGAUGGUCCUACUGUCCCCAUUCACAGAUGGGAAAACUGAGGGCAAAUGGUAGAGCCAAGUAAUGAAUGUGUUCUGCUUGGUCUUUACUUCUCAUGGAUACUCAAGGAAGGCAGCAGGUCUGGGCAAAGAAGGAAGGUGUUUCUUCACCAGAAGCAAAAUUUGUGUUGGAAAAGGGAUCUUAGAAAAGCCCCAGCCUCGACAUUCCUGAGCUCAGCCUCAGGGCUUUAUACAUACUUUGAUGAACACUUAAUAUGUUGCAAUUUUUCUGUUCUACCACAGGGUCAGCGCAUACAGUUGUAUAGGUUAUGCACUGCACAACUCAUGGAGUUCCAUGGCCUAAACCUGAGGGACCCAUCUUGCAGUCUCUGAGAUGGUGUGGAGUGGCGUCCACAGAUGAGGGCUUUGCUGACAAGUAGCGGGGUUUGAAUCUAGUCUUGGUUACUGGGUCGAGGAGCUUUUUCUAUUCUCCUUGAUCCCAUUUCCUCAUCUGUGAAGUGGAGAUGGUAUCAUCAUCUCUUCUCCCUCGGGGACUGUCAGGAUAGCAGGAGAGAACACACGGCAUAUGGCCCUUUACACAGGGCCUGGUACUAGUGGGGCCUUGGUAGAGUUCAGUUUCUCAUACUUCUGUCUCUCUGAGUGGACUUGAGGGCAGGCAGAGGCCCUGUCUAACUCAUUCCUGCAUCCCCAGCGCCCAGCGCUGUCCUUGCACGUGGGAGGGACUAGGCACCCAUUUGCUAAGGGACCAGAGAAAUCAUGCUGGAGGCAGAGAGGGGAUUUGGGGAACACUGGGGCAGCAGGCCCCAGUCCGGCAUCCCCACCCCACCUUUUCCCUCUUGGAGACAGCCUGGUCUGAGUUAUUUCCCUUCCCGACACUUCCCUGCCUCCAGGGCACAUUUUCUCCAGGUGAGUCCACCCAGGCAGAGGGCGAAGCCAGCAGGCACAGGCUGGAUUCCUGCAGAGGCGCGCAUUUCAUUUGGCCUGCACCAUGGCUUCACAUUUUUAAAAUUAGUUGCCGAUAUUUUACAAUUUGGAGAUUUCACCUAGAAACCUGGAUUUCCAGCUAUUCUUGAAAAAUCAAAAGAUCUAGCAGCCCUGGGCCUGCAGCUGGCAGCUGGUGUGCAGCAGCCACUGUUCCUUUGUGUUGGGUAUAUGCUGCUCAGUUUGCCACCAGAUCCACCUGGUCCAAGUCCCCCUCCCUUAUGACUCCUGCCCUUCCCCUGGUGAACCUGCAACCCCUGGCUCUAUGGAGCGCCCGGGCCAUCCCACUAACCUCACAGGUCUUGGUUUGGCAAAUCAUGACCGUGCCAGGGUCUUUGCCUGUGGAACGAGGAUCUGUGGGGGUGCCUUCCAAAUGUGCCAACCAAUGCUCACGACCAAGCCUUCAGUGUAACGAUCUGCCCACUUUCUCCUCCUCCCCCUGCCUCCGUGAGCCAGCGAAGCUGCUGCCCUGUUUGGGGACACAAACAUACACACGUUAUUAGAACCUCAGAUCAAAGGCGGCGUCCUACAGCCUGCCUCUCAAUGGUCCCUUUGUGCAGGCGGAAGCCUGCAAGAGAGUUAGAAUCCAGGGAGAACAGGAGGGGCUGGAGGGGGGCUCAAAACAAAGAUACUUGUCACCCUGAGAAGUCCGCAGAAAUGAUGUUAAAAGAGGCGCCAGGUGGAGGAUGUACCCCGGCUCGCUGCUGGAAGAUGCAAAUGGAGAAUUCUCAGUUCUGCAGAGGAGAAGAAAACACCCCUGUCCCUUGUGGUUUCAGAGGAAGGGGUGACAGUGGCUGCCCACCCCCUCCGCCAGCAGCAGCCUGCGUCUGCCUUCCUGGCCUCGCCAGGGGUGGAUGUGAUACUGGCAAGGGCUUCUUGGAACGAAAAGGUGACAGUGACCUUGUCUUGGGCACAGAGUCAGAAGAAACAAAAUGAUGUGGGGGGGGGGCCUGGGGAAGGCCAGGGGAAGCCGUGGGGGCAGCGUCACCUCUGGCCAGAUGGGCCUGUGUGUUCAGCCCUUCAGGCCUACAGCAAAGCAUUUCAAAAGCCCCUACUGUGUGCCAGCCACAGUGUGAUGCGAGGCAGGAGCAGAGAGGAUUAACUUGGGGUCAGGACCUCAGCGGAGGCAGAGAGGGCGACGCUGUUCUAACCAGGGCAUCAGAGAGAGCUAGCAUCUGCUGAGGUCCCCUCGGCUGGAUGCCCUACGCAUUUUACACACAUUGUCUCAUUUAUCUCUAGGGUUGGUUUGAACAAAGAAGUGCUUUGAGAGUUCAGAUGUGGAGCCAGGAACCCUGCCUGCCAUGGGAUGCAGGGAGAGGGGGUGGCGAGCAGGUAUGGAAGAGAGGGUUUUCUAGGAGGGGAACAGAAGCCAAGAGGCCGCCGUGGUGCUGGGAUGCGCAGGAGGCAGGCGGAAUUCACCGGUGUCUGCGGCCUGCGACACUUGCAGACCUCUCAUCUUUGCAAGGCCAUGGGGCUCUCUCCUUGGCCCUCUUCUGUUCUCUGUCCACAGUCAUUCCCCAGGGCAUCACAUCCAGUGUUGGGCUUUCAAUUCCAUCUGCCUGCUUAUGAUGCCUGGGCACAUAUCUGCAGCCUGCAGCUUGCUUCUGUACUCUGGGCUCAUAGAUCCAACUGGCCACUCAAUCUCACUGCCAGGACACUCAACGGUCGUCUCAAAACAACGUGCCAAAUGGAGCUCCUCUUCUUCCUUGCCUGGCAGACCAGCUCCACCCGCAGGCUUCCUCAUUGCAGUUCAUGGCAGCUCCAUCCUUGGAGUUGCUUAGGCCCCGCAUCUUGGCGGCUUCCUUAGUUUCUCUGUUUCUCUCCCACUCCACGUCCAAUACAUUUGCUAAUGCUGUUGCCUCUAAUUUCAAAAUACAUUCAGCGUCCAACUUCUUUUACCUCCUCCACUGCCAUCACCUGGUCUAAGUCGCCAUCAUCUCAGGCCUGGCGCCCCACCAUAGCCCUGUGACCCACACUUAUUCUCAACACAGCAGCCCAGUUGCUCUGGUUACUACUCUCUCUUUUUUUGAGACAGGGUCUCACUCUGUUGCCCAGGCUUGAGUGCAGUGGUGCAGUCUCAGCUCACUGCAACCUCUGCCUCCUGGGCUCCAGCAAUCCUCCCACCUCAGCCUCCCUAGUAGCUUGGAAUACAGACAUGCAUCACCAUACCUGGCUACUUUUUAAAAUUAUUUUUUGUGGAGACAGGAUUUUGUCAUGUUACCCAGGCUGGCCUCAAUCUUCUGGUUGCAAGGGAUCAACCCACCUCAGCUUCCCAAAGUGCUGGGAUUACAGGCAUGAGCCACCAUGCCCAGCCACAACUCUCUUCUAGUAACUCCUGUCUUUCUCCAGGAAAGCUGAAGUUUUUGAUGAGACCUAUAAGGGUCUCAUGAUCUGUCCCCGUCACCUCCAACCUCAUCUUCUCCCCAAUACUCCCAAACUGUGGUCUCUCUGCUCCAGAGCCGGGGGCCUCUUUGCUGUUUCCAAAACAUUCCUGGCAUAUCCUUACCUCAGGCCCUUUGCACAUGCUGUUCCCUCUGUUUCUUCCUCAUUUUCAAGUCUUUGCACAAAGCUUAUCCUCUCUGACCUGUCUAUCUAAAAUCAUUAGCUCCUGCCCUGGUAUUUUUUCUUUCUCUUUAUCACUUGAAUUUUUUCUCCCAUAGACACACCACAUAUUUCACUGACUUAUGUAUUUAUUGUCUGUCUUCCUCUAUGAGAAUAUAAACUUCAUGAGGAUGGCAUUUUUGUCUGUUUUGUGGACACAAGAGCCUGAUGUAAAUUAGGCGCCCAACAAAUCUUCACUGAAUGACAUGAUAAAUAAAAGAGAAGCACCCACCUUUAUUUCUUGGUUGCCUCCUCCCUGACUUUGGCCUCUCCAUCUCCUCCCCAGCAUGGCUGCUUAUGCGAGGCAAGGGCAAGCUAUGUAACCUUGGUUGCUUCUGAGAAGGCUUAACUUUCUAGAGCCUCCAACUGUGUGUGGUCUAUACACCAGCACCAUCAGCCUCACCUGGGAGCUGGUGAGAAAUGACUCUCAGGCUCCACUCACACUGCAUCUCAACAAGAUCCCGGUGAAUUCAUAUGCACAUUAAAUUCCAGGGAGCCCUCCUCUAGGCUAUUUGACCCUAGCUCAAGAAAGGGGGAUUAAGAGUCUUACAGGGAGGGAUCCAAGGUCAGCAUAUACAGUUAGUCAGGGACCAGUCUGUCUGUGUCUCUCUCUCCAUGGGGUUUACUAUCAUUGCUUUCCCCUAAUGGUUCUUACUCCUGCUUCUUCCUGCUUAUUUUUCAGCCCACAGCGACCCCAAGAAGCUGCUCCAACCCCUGGGACUAUGGAGCUCUACAGCUGUAGAGACCACCAGGAAGUGGACUGCAGGCCCCUGGCCUCUCCAUUCAGAUUCUGCAAAGAGAUCCUGAUGGGUUGGGCCAAUGGGUCAGGCAUCCAGUCAGCUCUGGCUAAGGGGUGAAGGAGUCAGGUGUUACCAACGUGGUGGCAGGGGCCACCUUGAAGCUGUGUUCUGUGCCAUGGAAGAAGGAAGAGGAGGAGGAAGCUAAGCUGGAAGGGAAGGCAGGUGAUACAGGAAAAUUAACUAUGAGCUUUGCUAUAGUGACCACUUUUCCUUCACUCCUUGAGCUGUGGCCUUAAGAACUGUGUACCAAUGGGAGGCACUUGCAUAGUAAGUGUUCAUUUGCUGAAUACUUACAGAGGGCUAUAAGUGGACAAAUAUGUCCAAAAACACAUGAAACACACACCAUCAACACUUGCAGAUGGUCUCCUUCAGGGAACCUUUCCACACUGGCUCUCCCCUCACUGAGCUUUCCUUCCUAUCACCCUCCCAGUCUAGGCUCCUGGAGUCAGUAGUUGGAAUCUCAGAUGGGAAGAAACCUUAAAAGUCAUCUGGUCCAGUAUUUUCCAAAGCAUGUUCCAUGAACUUGUUUUCCAGAAAUGGUUUCCUGGUCUGGUGAGUUUAAGAAACCCUGCUUAUGACGAUGCUCUCCAUUUAGAGAAUCACAAAGCUUGGCUACUCAAUGAAAGCUCUGACAAGUCCUGCAGGAAAAAACUUGUCUUCUUUUGGCUAAGCUAGGGCUGCCCAAAGUUUCUCAUGGAGUCCUUUCUUGCACAUAAUAAUAGCAUCUCACAAACCAGUGGUCGGGGGAACCCAUUACGGGAAAUGCUAAUCUUCUGGACCCUUCCUUCUAUUUUAUAGGUGGAGAGGCUGUGUGGUGGUCUGGUUGGCUGCAUGUAACUGAAAAACAAAGGCUUAAAAAGAUAGGGGCUUCUUUUGCUCUUUUGUUAACAAAGUCUGGGAAUAGUCAAAGACUGGUACUGUGACUAGAAAGGCUUCUGAUAUGGUUUGGCUCUGUGUUCCCACCCAAAUCUCACCUUGAGUUGUAAUGAUCCCCAUAUGUCAAGGGCAGGAUCAGGUGGAGGUAAUUGAAUCAUGAGGGCAGUUAAUCCCAUGCUGUUCUUGUGAUAGUGAGUUCUCACAGGAUCUGAUGGUUUUAUAAGGGGCUUUUCCCCUUUGCUCGGCACCUCUCUCUCCUGCUGCUAUGUGAAGAGGGACGUGUUUGCUUCUCCUUCUGUCAUGAUUGUAAGUUUCCUGAGGCCUCCCCAGCCAUGUAGAACUGUGAGUCAAUUAAACCUCUUUCCUUUAUAAAUUGCCCAGUUCCGGUAUGUUCUUGUAGCAGCCUGAGAACGGACUAAUAUAGCUUCUCUGCCCAGUGUGAAGAAGAGCAGAGAGGCAGGGCUGGGAGGAGAACAAGGCACCUGCCAAGGAGAUGGGGAGGCUGGGCUGGCUUUCCCUCUCCUCCAGGCUCACCUGGGAAGCCUGUGCUCUAAACUUGCUCAAACAUCCUGAACCCAGGAGGAGUUGGUGGUACACAAAUUCAAUUCAAUUCAACCCCACAUCCAGACUGUACUCAAGCAGCAGUCUUUUGGCCCAGUCAUCUCCAACCUCAUCUUCUCCCCUCUACUCCCAAACCAUGCUCUCUCUGCUCCAGAGCCAGGGGCCUCUUUGCUGUUUCCAAAACAUCCAUGGCAGUCUCCACUUCAGGGCCUUUACAUGUGCUGUUCCCUCUGCCUUUAGUACCCAAACAGAAUGGCUUGGAGACCCCAGCCCUAGUUCUUGGGGAAGCCCAGCCUCCUCCAUCUCAUAUCUAAGGCCUGAGGCCUCCUGGCUGCCUCUGGCUCCCAUCUUUUCUCCUGCAGGGUAUCUCCACUGUGAAGAUUGCUGUUGGCCCCAUUAAUUACCUGUAGGAGUCAUCUUUCUGAUUCCUUAAUUUUGUCCUGUGCCACUAACCCAGGAAGUGGCUAGGAUUUUGCUGAGGGCUUGGAGUAACAGAGGAAGAAGAGAGCACUGCCAAUCGCAUGUUAGAGCUCACUGUCCCAAAAGUGAAUUGGCCAGUCCCCACCUUGCUGGCUGUGCCUUCUUAGGCCCCAUUAUCACUCUCUUCUCAUGCUGUUUCCUUUGAGAUCUUUGUUUUCCCUUCCCUCCAAAAUGCCUGAUAUUUUCUCAGGCAGAGUAGUCUAACUUUCCCCUCCUCACCCAAACUAGGCUUCCAGGCCCUUUAGCAAUGCCAAAACUCACCAGGGAACUAUAAAAUAAAGCAACUCCAGGGAUCCAGGAGGAACCAGUGGAGACUUGGGAACUGAUUUUCUCCUUCAUAUAUCCAAGAUCGUAUUAUUGGCAGUACUCCCUCCUUAUUGACCACAACAUGCUCCUGGCUGAGGCUGGGCAGAGAGAGUUUGUCUCCUUCCACAGCAGGUGUGAUGGCACCUGCUAUAGGCAGUGCUGUGUUCGGCAUUGCAUUCAGAGAUGCAAGUAAGGCAAGAACCCUGGCCUCAAGGAGCCCUGGCUCCAGGAGUGAAACUUAGCCUCAUGCAUAAAAUAAGUGGAGAUGGGAGGGGGCAGGGAAACCUUGGCUAAUCAGAGCAGAGAAGAGCCCUUCAGGUUGGAAGGUCAAGGAGGGCUUCCUUUAGGAAAUGGCAUUUGAAGGGGCCAGAUCAGAUGGCUUAACUUCGGGGACAAGCUUUGGAGCAGCUAACUUGGGUGAUGUAGGAUUUUUUUUUUUUUUAAAUCUCCCAGCUCUAUGUCUGACAGAUUUCACCUAAACCAGCCUUGUUAAAUCUCAAGCCCCAUGAAACCCGUUUCUGUUAUAAUCUCUCUCUCUUAUCUCUUCCUUGCCUUCCUUUCCCAUUCUCCUCCCCCAAAGGAUAGGAAAUCUUCAAAGAAAAAGAUGUGUCACUGCAAGUAUACAGCCCAAGAAAUGGGCCAGAUAAAUUAUUAAAACACACGAAAAGACAGUGAGUUAUGGGGUGGGAAGCCCUCGGAGGCCGAAUGGCCACCCCAGGUAGACAGCAUGCUGGUGGCCCCUGGAGACCCCCUUCUCAGAGACCUGGACAGACUAACAUUUUGCCACAAGGCCCAUCUCUUGGGUUCUCACCCCAGAUCCGGGUAAGGGUAUCAUGAUUCCAAUAGCAGUGAAGUCCCAGGCGCCUGCUGGGCUGGGAGGCACCAGGGUGAAGGUGGAGGGGGGCUUUGUGUCUGGGCUGGACAUUUGGGAUUUACUCCCCGCAAGACUCAAACUGCUAACUGCAGUUUUAGUUCUUGCUUUUAUCUCUUUUUGAACUGUAAAAAGAAAUUCCCAAGGGGAAGAGGGGAUACUUUUUUCUCAUGGAAGAAGAAAGCCAGGACCGGUUUAAGAAAGUAACCAACUUUCUAAGCACUGUGAGAAAGGAUGCUCCAAGUUUUGCUUUGAUUUAGAGGCACCCUGGUACCAGCAGGGAGGGGUGAGAAAGGCAAACAGGAAUUCCAGACGAAUUCCAUUGCCUUUUGAGGGGUCUGAAAGAGGGUGCCCACUCCGACUCAGAUGCUCAAACCCCUGCCUCCCUCCUACACCUGACCCCCGCCGUUCUGCCCCACUUUUUCAUGUUCCUACAGCUCAGGGGUUCUUACUUCAGCAUUACCCACAUUUGAUGCUGGAUCAUUUGUUCUGGUAGGGUGGGGGGGCUGCCUUAUGCAUUGUGGUAUGUGUAGCAGCAACCCUGGCCUCUACCCACUAGAUACCUCCAGGCAUUACCAAGUGUCCCCUAGAGGGCAAAAUUGUUUGCUGUCAGGUCCUUAUGGGAUGGAAAGAAAGAAAAAUGGCCUGUUACCCCUGGUGUAACUUACUACACUGUUUACUAAUUCAUCAUUUAUUGUUUCUUGCCUAUCUUCCCCCUAGGUGAGUGGGAGUUCGAUGAGAGUGGCAGUUGUCUAUUUUGUUCACCGAUGUAUCUUAGGUGACUAAAACAAUGGUUGUCACAUGGCUGGCCCUUCAUAUUUGUUUCCAGAUGGAAGACUCUCUUUCUAGUGGUGGAACAUUAGUUUUGCACUGUGUUGGGACAACCUGAUGUAGUGAAAACAAGCCUGGGCAAUGAAAUCAACAGAUUGGAGUUCAGUUCCUAAUUGGGUCAUGGAUGAACUUUGUGACCUUGGGCAAGUGAGUUCACCUCUCUGAGUUGAAUAGGUUCCCUCCUUUCUAGAACAAGUAUGAGUCUGCAUCAGAGAGUGGUUGCGAGGGCUACACAUGAUGGAGGAUGAGGACUGGCACAUCAGAAGUACUGAAUGAAGAAUUGUAACAUAAAAAUGACAACAGUAAUAUAUUUUUGUGGUUUCAGCACUCUUCAAAUGAAACCACCUGGCCAACAGGAUUUUAGUGUACCUGCUUAUAACAUUAGCCUUCGUUUCCACCAAAAAGGGUGUUAAAAAAGGAAGCUUGGAACAUGAAAGUAAGACACUUGGAUGAAGAGAUUUAUGACUCUGGGGGGCUGUGAAUUCCUAAUGUCCUUUUGAGACAUGUAGAUCUUCCAGAGCGAUGCUGCCCAAUGCAGUAGCCACUAGCCAAGUGCAAAUGGUCACUUGCAAUAUGGCUAGUCUUUGAGAUGUGUUUUAAGUGUAAAAUACACACUGAAUUUUAAAGACUUAGCGCAAUACAAAGAAUGUAAAAUAUCUCAUUAUAUCUUGAAAUUAUACUAUUUUGGAUAUAUGGUGUUCCCUUGGUGUCUUUGGGGACUGGUUCCAGGAUCCUAGAGGAUACCCAAAUCCCCAGAUGUCAAGUCCGCUAUAUAAAAUGUCCUGUAGUAUUUGCAUAUAACCUACACACAUCCUUCUGAAUACUUUAAAUCAUCUCUAGAUUCCUUGUAAUUCCUAAUACAAUGUAAAUGUUAUGUAAAUAGUUGUUAUACUAUAUUAAAAAGUUUUUUAUUCUUUAU
Molecule: long non-coding RNA, 13937 nt
Filed under: Homo sapiens (human)
Lineage: Eukaryota; Metazoa; Chordata; Mammalia; Primates; Hominidae
Description: long non-coding RNA NONHSAT173001.1
Source: RNAcentral